GCCCGUAUAGCUCAGUGGUAGUAGCGCAUCACUCGUAAUGAUGAGGUCCUCGGUUCGAAUCCGAGUGUGGGCA
RNAcentral lists this transfer RNA (73 nucleotides) under Microsporum canis CBS 113480. RNAcentral's name for it is "tRNA-Thr (CGT) (tRNA-Thr-CGT-1-1)". It matches the Rfam family "tRNA". Rfam says of the family: Transfer RNA (tRNA) molecules are approximately 80 nucleotides in length. Their secondary structure includes four short double-helical elements and three loops (D, anti-codon, and T loops). Lineage: Eukaryota; Fungi; Ascomycota; Eurotiomycetes; Onygenales; Arthrodermataceae. The record is from RNAcentral.